GACGAACGCUGGCGGCGUGCCUAAUACAUGCAAGUCGAGCGCAAGAAGCUGACGGAACUCUUCGGAGAGAAGGCAAUGGAAUGAGCGGCGGACGGGUGAGUAACACGUAAGGAACCUGCCUCAAGGAUUGGGAUAACUCCGAGAAAUCGGAGCUAAUACCGGAUAGUUCAACGGACCGCAUGGUCCGCUGAUGAAAGGCGCUUCGGCGUCACCUUGAGCUGGCCUUGCGGUGCAUUAGCUAGUUGGUGGGGUAACGGCCCACCAAGGCGACGAUGCACAGCCGACCUGAGAGGGUGAUCGGCCACACUGGGACUGAGACACGGCCCAGACUCCUACGGGAGGCAGCAGUAGGGAAUCUUCCACAAUGGACGAAAGUCUGAUGGAGCAACGCCGCGUGAGUGAUGAAGGUUUUCGGAUCGUAAAACUCUGUUGUAAGGGAAGAACACGUACGAGAGGGAAUGCUCGUACCUUGACGGUACCUUACGAGAAAGCCACGGCUAACUACGUGCCAGCCGCCGCAGUAA
This 524-nucleotide ribosomal RNA is filed under the name uncultured bacterium. RNAcentral's name for it is "partial 16S ribosomal RNA". It matches the Rfam family "Bacterial small subunit ribosomal RNA", at positions 28 to 523 of the family's 1533-position model. The record is from RNAcentral.